This is a long non-coding RNA of Vespula vulgaris, 1148 nucleotides long. RefSeq lists it as uncharacterized. Lineage: Eukaryota; Metazoa; Arthropoda; Insecta; Hymenoptera; Vespidae. The transcript has 6 exons. The record is from RefSeq and is a predicted model, not a curated record.
UUGAAAACAUGAAAGUGAAACGAUCGAAAAGAUGUGAGUAUGGAGAAUGAAGAACAGGGGAAUCAAAGGAGAAAAAGGAGUCAAAAGGAGAAAAGAAAGGUAAAGGCGAAACGAAAUUUCCCCUUUACGAUAAUAUCGAUCCAAAGUUACUGCUAACAUUGUGAAUAUAUGUAAAAGAGGGAGUGGGAUCAAACAGCGCAUGCUCGAGUUACUUUUGGAAGGGUUACGAGCAAUCCACAGAAAUUGAAUAAAUCGUUCACUCUGUUUCGAGUCGUCCUAGAAGCACGUUCUUGUGGGCCUUAGGAGAUGGACGGUCCGGAGUGAUAUAAAAGCGCCUCUUCAGUCGCGAUAAUGGAAACCAUCUGUAACAUUUUAAGCAACACGCUCUCGAACUGUCUCUCGAUAAACGAAUCAUAAUGCAUUAUUAAGAACUAAUUGUUUUCUCACAAAUAGUCCUGCAUUAGCCCUGCAUUACUUGAUACUCGUUAGCCUAUUAAUCCUGUAUUAACGGAGGGAGAUAGAAAUAUUUUCACUAGAACAUGGAUAUAGUUUUCCUUGAGGUGUUACCACAUACUUUGCGAGAUGUUAAUAUCAUAUUCCUUAUAUAGACGUCAAGAAGGGUGGACUGCAUAAUUCAAGGAACCAUUAAAGAGGAAUACCAAUGUCUACCACCAGCAUUUAAUCCUUGCAAUCUGCUGCGAAAGUGACAGAGCUUCGAUGUUUACUGGAGCGUUUAACGAAAUGUUACUAAAACAGUGAUUUAUUUAACUUCUCGUCCAUCUAUUUCGUUCAAAUGGAUUUAAAAUUACCGAAAGUAUUAAGUUUGAAGUUUUCACCUGUGGAAAGCGAAGAUAACCUUCAAGUUCAUUCAAAGGACUGGCUGUAUAAAAACAAAAAUGAUCCCGCUGGACAAUCAAUUGACACUGAUAAGUGAAGAUAAGAAAAAUUAAUAUACGCUUUAUCUUAUCGAAAGUGUUGUUUAAAAUGAUAUAGACGAUAUACUCCAUUAUCGUGCCUGGGGGGGGGUGCUUCUAUAGGGGUUCCAUCUUCUGGAGUCCACUGGAAUCUGCAUGGAUGACUAAGAGACUCAGAAUCAACAGCUUGUAUUCCUUUUUAAAGAAUACAAUAAAUUCAAUGGUCACAUAAAA